ACGGGAGGCAGCAGUGAGGAAUAUUGGUCAAUGGACGGAAGUCUGAACCAGCCAUGCCGCGUGCAGGAAUAAGGCCCUAUGGGUCGUAAACUGCUUUUGUAGUGGAGCAAUAAGGUCUACGUGUAGAUCGAUGAGAGUACAUUACGAAUAAGCAUCGGCUAACUCCGUGCCAGCAGCCGCGGUAAUACGGAGGAUGCGAGCGUUAUCCGGAUUUAUUGGGUUUAAAGGGUGCGUAGGCUGUUUGUCAAGUCAGCGGUGAAAUGCCGGGGCUCAACCCCGGAGCUGCCGUUGAUACUGUUGGGCUUGAAUACUGUUGCCGUGGGAGGAAUGAGUAGUGUAGCGGUGAAAUGCAUAGAUAUUACUCAGAACACCGAUUGCGAAGGCAUCUCACGAAGCAGCGAUUGACGCUGAGGCACGAAAGCGUGGGGAUCAAACAGGAUUAGAUACCCUGGUA
RNAcentral lists this ribosomal RNA (454 nucleotides) under uncultured Rikenella sp. RNAcentral describes it as "bacterial SSU rRNA". It matches the Rfam family "Bacterial small subunit ribosomal RNA", at positions 341 to 792 of the family's 1533-position model. Lineage: Bacteria; Pseudomonadati; Bacteroidota; Bacteroidia; Bacteroidales; Rikenellaceae. The record is from RNAcentral.